UGGAAAUGAUGAAAUAGAGAUAAUUGGGUGUUGAAUGUUGUAUGAUUGGAAAUUAUUAAUAUGUGUGUUAAGUAAUUAUUAGCCUAAGUUUAAUAUUGUAUGUUACAGUGUGUGUGUGUGUGCGCGUGCAUGUGGAGGCUGUGGAAAGGGGGCACUGACUGGUGAUGCUGAUACUGGAGUGCAUCUGAGGCUGUUGUAGAAAUACAUGGGUGUUGAUUACAACAUUGCCGAUGAUUAUAACCCAAGAACAGCUCACCUAACCAGCCUAACACCCUAAAAAUCUCUAACAGGUUCAUUAAACAUGGUCCUGUGAUCUGAUCCAA
This is a small nucleolar RNA of Choloepus hoffmanni (Hoffmann's two-fingered sloth), 323 nucleotides long. Ensembl annotates it as small Cajal body-specific RNA 7. Its record names the gene SCARNA7. The record is from Ensembl. Lineage: Eukaryota; Metazoa; Chordata; Mammalia; Pilosa; Megalonychidae.